UUGAACGCUGGCGGAAUGCUUUACACAUGCAAGUCGAGCGGCAGCGCGGGGCAACCUGGCGGCGAGCGGCGAACGGGUGAGUAACAUAUCGGAACAUACCCAGUCGUGGGGGAUAACACAGCGAAAGUUGUGCUAAUACCGCAUACGUCCUGAGGGAGAAAGCGGGGGAUCGCAAGACCUCGCGCGAUUGGAGUGGCCGAUAUCGGAUUAGCUAGUUGGUGAGGUAAAGGCUCACCAAGGCGACGAUCCGUAGCUGGUCUGAGAGGACGACCAGCCACACUGGAACUGAGACACGGUCCAGACUCCUACGGGAGGCAGCAGUGGGGAAUUUUGGACAAUGGGCGCAAGCCUGAUCCAGCCAUUCCGCGUGAGUGAAGAAGGCCUUCGGGUUGUAAAGCUCUUUCGGCAGGAACGAAACGGUCUUUUCUAAUACAAGAGGCUAAUGACGGUACCUGAAGAAGAAGCACCGGCUAACUACGU
This 480-nucleotide ribosomal RNA is filed under the name uncultured bacterium. RNAcentral describes it as "bacterial SSU rRNA". It matches the Rfam family "Bacterial small subunit ribosomal RNA", at positions 30 to 506 of the family's 1533-position model. The record is from RNAcentral.